GUAUUUGUAGUGGAGAGAGACUUUAGUGGCACUGGCAUGUGGGAAUUUUCACAACUAAAAAUGACCAGACUAAAACAUACUAUUUCAUGAUUUACUGCUGCGUGUCUAUGCCGUGCUGAAAGUCUUGUAUCUACUCUUGUCUCUUUGUAGACCAGUUUCAGACCUUAGGAGAAAGAGCGUUUUCUUUUAACGUUUUAAACACUGAACUUAAAAUUUGAUUAUUGAAGGUUUAGCCAAAAUUCACCCAGAUUGUCGCACUGGCUGCAUAGCAGAAAAAGACAAACCACUAAAACAUUUUCAGCCAGUAGAAGGAGGUUAUGUCAUUGGCAUAGCUGUAAGUUCUAGGUAGCUAACUGCAUGGCCAUAACCAGCUAUGGGGUUCAAGUACCACUGAACUCAAAGAACAGUUGCGUCAUUAAGGAAGUGGUUAUCCAAGCAUCCUCUCUGCAGAGCUGAUUAGAGGCCCCUUCCUGUAAAAGAGGACAACACAAGGACGACGCGCUCAUCGUCUGCCAGCAGAGCUCUUAGAUUUUAGCCGGUCUGGCCGAGGCAGAGGCUGCAGCUCGAUGAAGAUGGAUGGUCUAAUCCAUCGUGCGGAGAAAAGAUUCUCAUAGCCCUGUUCUGUGGAAACGGGUACAGAAAACCCUGCAAGCAUGACCUGCUAAGGACAAAAUAACUGACAGGCAAAUUUAGAGAUUAUAUCUGGUAAACCUGGUGGAAUAUUUAGAAGCUGCAGGGCUGGAUAUUUCCUUCAGGAAUUGGUGAAGAAAAGUAGAGUUAAAAGAAAGACAAUCUUUUGUAUUCAUCCCACAUUCAUCAAGUAGCAUAAAUGGCAUUAUGUGACUGGAUGACAUCACAUCGGCUGAACACAAAAGUGACUCUAAAUGAGUGAUCACGCUGCUCUGUGACUGAUGAGUGUGUAAAUAACCGAGUGUUUGUGAAACAAAUGCAAGUAAAAAACAAAAGUUGACUGAAAUCAUGUAUAAAAGUUGUUAUUAAAAGGUGAUUUUAUCUUG
This is a long non-coding RNA of Oreochromis niloticus (Nile tilapia), 1016 nucleotides long. RefSeq lists it as uncharacterized. NCBI's taxonomy places the organism in Eukaryota, Metazoa, Chordata, Actinopteri, Cichliformes, Cichlidae. The transcript is spliced from 3 exons. The record is from RefSeq and is a predicted model, not a curated record.